RNAcentral lists this long non-coding RNA (796 nucleotides) under Sorghum bicolor (sorghum). Its description in RNAcentral is "long non-coding RNA (SBIC_LNC018420)". Lineage: Eukaryota; Viridiplantae; Streptophyta; Magnoliopsida; Poales; Poaceae. The record is from RNAcentral.
AUCACAGAUUCUCUCAGCAGAAACAGUAAAAUCAAAGAUAUUUCAUAACUGAGUCCAUCUCUGUCCAGUUUCACCUACAGAUUGCUGUGCUGUUUGUUUACCUUUUUUUAACAAUUUUUGACGCCUUAUAUAGUGACCCCGACACUUUAUAUUGAGCUUUUUAUAUCCAAAGGAAUAGUAUCUUAUGAUUUUCUCCGUGCCUUUUUCAGGGUAACUUUGACCUUGUGGGUAACAACAUGCCUGUGUUUUUCAUACGAGAUGGGAUGAAAUUCCCUGAUAUGGUCCAUGCUUUCAAGCCAAACCCAAAGACCAAUUUGCAGGAGAACUGGAGAAUAGUAGAUUUCUUCUCUCACCACCCAGAGAGCCUGCACAUGUUCACCUUCCUCUUUGAUGAUGUUGGCAUCCCACUCAACUACAGGCACAUGGAGGGCUUUGGUGUCAAUACCUACACCUUGAUCAACAGGGAUGGAAAGCCUCACCUUGUGAAAUUCCAUUGGAAGCCUACUUGUGGCGUGAAAUGCUUGCUUGAUGAUGAAGCUGUGACUGUUGGAGGUACCUGCCAUAGCCAUGCGACAAAGGAUCUAUAUGAUUCCAUUGCAGCUGGGAAUUACCCUGAAUGGAAGCUCUACAUCCAGACUAUCGAUCUUGACCAUGAGGAUAAGUUUGACUUCGACCCGCUUGAUGUCACCAAGACCUGGCCUGAGGAUAUCAUCCCACUGCAACCUGUUGGACGGAUGGUCCUGAACAAGAACAUUGAUAACUUCUUUGCGGAGAAUGAACAAAUUGCUUUCUGCCC